UAGAGUUUGAUCCUGGCUCAGAUUGAACGCUGGCGGCAUGCCUUACACAUGCAAGUCGAACGGCAGCGCGGACUUCGGUCUGGCGGCGAGUGGCGAACGGGUGAGUAAUACAUCGGAACGUACCCUGUUGUGGGGGAUAACUAGUCGAAAGAUUAGCUAAUACCGCAUACGACCUGAGGGUGAAAGCGGGGGACCGCAAGGCCUCGCGCAGCAGGAGCGGCCGAUGUCUGAUUAGCUAGUUGGUGGGGUAAAGGCCCACCAAGGCGACGAUCAGUAGCUGGUCUGAGAGGACGAUCAGCCACACUGGGACUGAGACACGGCCCAGACUCCUACGGGAGGCAGCAGUGGGGAAUUUUGGACAAUGGGGGCAACCCUGAUCCAGCAAUGCCGCGUGUGUGAAGAAGGCCUUCGGGUUGUAAAGCACUUUUGUCCGGAAAGAAAACGCUCUGGUUAAUACCUGGGGUGGAUGACGGUACCGGAAGAAUAAGCACCGGCUAACUACGUGCCAGCAGCCGCGGUAAUACGUAGGGUGCGAGCGUUAAUCGGAAUUACUGGGCGUAAAGCGUGCGCAGGCGGUUUUGUAAGACAGGCGUGAAAUCCCCGAGCUCAACUU
This 613-nucleotide ribosomal RNA is filed under the name Ralstonia sp. enrichment culture. RNAcentral describes it as "bacterial SSU rRNA". It matches the Rfam family "Bacterial small subunit ribosomal RNA", at positions 1 to 615 of the family's 1533-position model. Lineage: Bacteria; Pseudomonadati; Pseudomonadota; Betaproteobacteria; Burkholderiales; Burkholderiaceae. The record is from RNAcentral.